Molecule: ribosomal RNA, 254 nt
Filed under: uncultured bacterium
Lineage: Bacteria
Description: partial 16S ribosomal RNA
Rfam family: Bacterial small subunit ribosomal RNA
Source: RNAcentral
UACGUAGGGGGCGAGCGUUGUCCGAAGUUACUGGGCGUAAAGCGCGCGUAGGCGGCUCUUUAAGUCUGAGGUGAAAGGUUCAGCGCUCAACGUGAACAGUGCCUUGGAUACUGGGGAGCUUGAGUGUGGGAGAGGGAAGUGGAAUUCCUGGUGUAGCGGUGAAAUGCGUAGAUAUCAGGAGGAACACCGGUGGCGAAGGCGGUGGUCUGGGCCGGUACUGACGCUGAGGAGCGAAAGCGUGGGGAGCGAACAGG